AGCACGUAGGUGGGUUUGUAAGUCAGAUGUGAAAGCCUCCUGUUCAACGGGAGAAUUGCAUCUGAAACUACUGAUCUUGAGUGUAGGAGGGGAGAAUGGAACUUCUGGUGGAGCGGUGAAAUGCGUAGAUAUCAGAAGGAACGCCGGCGGCGAAAGCGAUUCUCUGGCCUAUUACUGGCGCUCAGUGUGCGAAAGCUAGGGGAGCAAACGGGAUUAGAUACCCCGGUAGUCCUAGCCGUAAACGAUGGGCACUAAGUAGAGGGG
Molecule: ribosomal RNA, 264 nt
Filed under: uncultured Planctomycetota bacterium
Lineage: Bacteria; Pseudomonadati; Planctomycetota
Description: uncultured planctomycete partial 16S ribosomal RNA
Rfam family: Bacterial small subunit ribosomal RNA
Source: RNAcentral